GGGGGAUAGUUCAUGUCAAAAGGGAAACAGCCCAGAUCACCAGUUAAGGCCCCUAAAUAUAUGCUAAGUGGCAAAGGAUGUAAAUAGACGUAGACAACCAGGAGGUUUGCUUAGAAGCAGCCAAGUUCCUUUAAAAAGUGCGUAAUAGCUUACUGGUCAAGUCCAUUUGCGCCGAUAAUGUAUGGGACUAAGCAUUUUGCCGAAACUGUGAGUUUACGGUAGGAGAGCGUUCUGCUUGGGCUGAAGUAAAAAUGGAAGUUUUUAUGGACUUAGCAGAAGUGAGAAUGUCGGCUUAAGUAACGAAAACACUAGUGAGAAUCUAGUGCUCCGAAAACCAAAGGAUUCCUUUGCAAGGUUCGUCCACAAAGGGUUAGUCAGGUCCUAAAAUGAGGCUUAAAAGCGUAGUUGAUGGAAAACAGGUUAAUAUUCCUGUACUGCACCUAGUUUGAUUAAGGGUGACGAAAGAGGUUAUGGUCAGCCAGUUUUUGGAAUCUGGUUUAAGCUUUCGAGGUAUUGAGAAGUAUUAAUAAAAGAUACUUUGAGCUGAGAAGCAAAUAUUUUUUUACUAAGGUAAAGAAAUGACUUUAGUCAUGUUUCCUAGAAAAACCCUAGCAAUUCCAUUAACUAGAAUGCACCUGUACCUUAAACUGACACAGGUCGGUAGGUAGAGUAUACUAAGGAGAGCGAGAUAACCCUUUUUAAGGAACUCGGCAAAAUGGCCUUGUAACUUCGGGAGAAAAGGUGCCCUGGUCAAAACCAGGGUUGCAGCGAUCAGAUCCAGGCGACUGUUUAUCAAAAACACAGGUCUCCGCAAAGUUGAAAAACUAUGUAUGGGGGCUGACGCCUGCCCAGUGCCGGAAGGUGAAAGAAACUUGUUAGCUUUCGCGAAGCUCGUGACUUAAGCCCCGGUGAACGGCGGCAGUAACUAUAACUGUCCUAAGGUAGCGAAAUUCCUUGUCGGGUAAGUUCCGACCUGCACGAAAGGCGUAACGAUCUGGAUACUGUCUCAAAAAGGGACUCGGUGAAAUAGAACUAACUGUGAAGAUGCGGUUAACUUACACUUGGACAGAAAGACCCUAUGAAGCUUUACUGUAGUUUGAAAUUGAUUUUCGACUUUCUUUGCGCAGAAUAGGUGGGAGGCUUUGAUUUAUUCCUUCCGGGGAAUAUUGAGCCGUCCGUGAGAUACCACUUUAAGAAAGUUAAAAAUCUAAUUGCGUUUCCUUAUAGGGACGCUUGACCCUUUCAGAUGGGCAGUUUUACUGGGGCGGUAGCCUCCUAAAAGGUAACGGAGGCUUACAAAGGUUUUCUCAAGCUGGUCGGAAAUUAGCUUUGGAGUGUAAAGACAUAAGAAAGCUUAACUGUUAGACUUAUAAGUCAAGCAGUGACGAAAGUCGGUCUUAGUGAUCCGACGUUACUUAAUGGGAAGGACGUCGCUCAAAAGAUAAAAGUUACUCUAGGGAUAACAGGCUGAUCUCCCCCAAGAGUUCACAUCGACGGGGAGGUUUGGCACCUCGAUGUCGGCUCAUCGCAACCUGGAGCGGUAGUACGUUCCAAGGGUUGGGCUGUUCGCCCAUGAAAGCGGUACGUGAGCUGGGUUCAGAACGUCGAGAGACAGUUCGGUCCAUAUCCGGUGUAAGCGUUGGAGUAUUGAAAGGAACUUUUUCUAGUACGAGAGGACCGAAAAGGACACACCAAUGGUGUACCAGUUCUUAUGCCAAUAGGACACGCUGGGUAGCUAUGUGUGGAGUGGAUAACUGCUGAAAAGCAUAA
Molecule: ribosomal RNA, 1770 nt
Filed under: Lepocinclis steinii
Lineage: Eukaryota; Euglenozoa; Euglenophyceae; Euglenales; Phacaceae
Description: LSU rRNA
Rfam family: Bacterial large subunit ribosomal RNA
Source: RNAcentral